CGGCCGCAGCUCCGCCCGCCGCGCACGCAGGGGCCGAGCUUCAAUUAAAGGUGCCCUGUGCCUGGGCAGCCGGCGGCGCUCAACUCGCCUCCCUGCCCGCUUGUCCCAUUCCAACAAGGGAGUCAAAAUGCCAAAAUUCCAGGCCUUGCAUGGCGCCGGUAACAAAAACAGUCUUGGAACCAGCAGAGGACGGGACCGAUGCCACCAGAAACCCCCUCUUAUUUUCUGACAGGUGCCCAGGGUAGUCCCACACUAUCUCCUCUAUCACUGAGCUUGGGAAAUAGAAGACCUCAGAGGGCAUGAGAGAGGGAACCCAACCUGCAGCCUGCCACCACAUGAAGGGACACGGGGCUCUGAGAACCUCCUUACCUGCACACCCCUCCCUCUGUGCCAGAUGGAUGUGCAUACCAUUCUCUCUGCCAUACCCUUCUGAAUACCUUCAAUAGUUAGAAAAUUGUUACUUGGAAAUAUGUAUUACUAGCUUAACAGUUCUAAUAAAAUUUGUAUCCUGCUGAUUUUA
This is a long non-coding RNA of Cyanistes caeruleus (blue tit), 520 nucleotides long. RefSeq lists it as uncharacterized. Lineage: Eukaryota; Metazoa; Chordata; Aves; Passeriformes; Paridae. The record is from RefSeq and is a predicted model, not a curated record.